Chenopodium quinoa (quinoa) is the source of this 225-nucleotide long non-coding RNA. RefSeq lists it as uncharacterized. Lineage: Eukaryota; Viridiplantae; Streptophyta; Magnoliopsida; Caryophyllales; Amaranthaceae. The transcript is spliced from 3 exons. The record is from RefSeq and is a predicted model, not a curated record.
AAAUGAAAUUUGGUUUUGCAGCUUAGCAAUUACAAUUCCUUUGAAGGGGUAUUGUACUGCAGGCCGCAUUUUGAUCAGCUGUUUAAGCUAAAUGGCAGCUUAGACAAAAGCUUUGAAGGUACUCCUAAAACAAAACCAGAUAGAACCGUUGAUAGUGAGAAACCUCCUAGCAAAGUCUCUUCCAUGUUUGGUGGAACUAGAGAUAAAUGUGCGGGUUGUUCCAAG